RNAcentral lists this long non-coding RNA (227 nucleotides) under Elaeis guineensis (African oil palm). RNAcentral's name for it is "long non-coding RNA (EGUI_LNC069742)". Lineage: Eukaryota; Viridiplantae; Streptophyta; Magnoliopsida; Arecales; Arecaceae. The record is from RNAcentral.
UCACAUAAAAAUAUUUUAUGCAUGGAGAAAGGUGAUGGUGUGAAGAGAAGAGUCCAACUCAAUUUGGACUCUAGGUUUUUAUUCAAAUUCAAACCCAUUUGAUCUCAAAUUUAAACCAACUAAUUUUUAAUUUAAAAAAAAAAUCAGAUAUGGAUAUGGAAAAGCUUCGAGACAUGAAAAAAAUUCAUAUAAAAAAUUUUUCUCACAUGAAUAAUAAGAGGGCGCAG